RNAcentral lists this ribosomal RNA (274 nucleotides) under uncultured bacterium. Its description in RNAcentral is "partial 16S ribosomal RNA". It matches the Rfam family "Archaeal small subunit ribosomal RNA", at positions 473 to 747 of the family's 1478-position model. The record is from RNAcentral.
AAACCAGCACCUCAAGUGGUCAGGAUGAUUAUUGGGCCUAAAGCAUCCGUAGCCUGCUCUGUAAGUUUUCGGUUAAAUCUGUACGCUCAACGUACAGGCUGCCGGGAAUACUGCAGAGCUAGGGAGUGGGAGAGGUAGACGGUACUCGGGAGGAAGUGGUAAAAUGCUUUGAUCUCUCGAUGACCACCUGUGGCGAAGGCGGUCUACCAGAACACGUCCGACGGUGCGGGAUGAAAGCUGGGGGAGCAAACCGGAUUAGAAACCCCAGUAGUCC